UACGGAGGGUGCAAGCGUUGUCCGGAUUUAUUGGGUUUAAAGGGUGCGUAGGCGGCCCGUUAAGUCAGCGGUGAAAUCCCCGGGCUCAACCCCGGAACUGCCGUUGAUACUGACGGGCUUGAGUUCGGUCGAGGCGGGCGGAACUGGCGGUGUAGCGGUGAAAUGCUUAGAUACCGCCAAGAACCCCGAUUGCGUAGGCAGCUCGCUUGGCCGAAACUGACGCUGAGGCACGAAAGCGUGGGGAGCGAACAGG
Molecule: ribosomal RNA, 253 nt
Filed under: uncultured bacterium
Lineage: Bacteria
Description: partial 16S ribosomal RNA
Rfam family: Bacterial small subunit ribosomal RNA
Source: RNAcentral